RNAcentral lists this unclassified non-coding RNA (285 nucleotides) under plant metagenome. RNAcentral's name for it is "partial contains small subunit ribosomal RNA, internal transcribed spacer 1, and 5.8S ribosomal RNA". The stretch from base 1 to 54 matches the Rfam family "Eukaryotic small subunit ribosomal RNA", at positions 1778 to 1831 of the family's 1831-position model. The record is from RNAcentral.
GGAAGUAAAAGUCGUAUCAAGGUUUCCGUAGGUGAACCUGCGGAAGGAUCAUUAUUGUAUAACCGAGGUGCGAGGGCUGUCGCUGACCCGAAAGGUCGUGCACGCCCGAGUGCCCUCACACACAUCCAUCUCACCCCUAUGUGCACCACCGCGUGGGUCCCCCUUUGGCUUGUUCGGAGGGGGGCUUACGUUUUCACACAAACUUUGUAUGCAGUGUAGAAUGUAUUUUUUGUUUUUGCGAUCACGCAAUCAAUACAACUUUCAACAACGGAUCUCUUGGCUCUC